Molecule: ribosomal RNA, 331 nt
Filed under: uncultured bacterium
Lineage: Bacteria
Description: bacterial SSU rRNA
Rfam family: Bacterial small subunit ribosomal RNA
Source: RNAcentral
GUGCCAGCCGCUGCGGUAAUACGUAGGGGACAAGCGUUGUCCGGAAUGACUGGGCGUAAAGGGCGCGUAGGCGGUCUAUUAAGUCUGAUGUGAAAGGUACCGGCUCAACCGGUGAAGUGCAUUGGAAACUGGUAGACUUGAGUAUUGGAGAGGCAAGUGGAAUUCCUAGUGUAGCGGUGAAAUGCGUAGAUAUUAGGAGGAACACCAGUGGCGAAGGCGGCUUGCUGGACAAAUACUGACGCUGAGGUGCGAAAGCGUGGGAGCGAACAGGAUUAGAUACCCUGGUAGUCCACGCCGUAACGAUGAAUGCUAGGUGUUGGGGAACUCAGUG